Long non-coding RNA from Photinus pyralis (common eastern firefly), 292 nucleotides. RefSeq lists it as uncharacterized. The transcript is spliced from 2 exons. Lineage: Eukaryota; Metazoa; Arthropoda; Insecta; Coleoptera; Lampyridae. The record is from RefSeq and is a predicted model, not a curated record.
GGUUUAUAAGGUCUCACAUUCCACCAUAUUCAACCAGAUCGGUCAUGAUGAAAUUGCUGCUUUCAAUAUUUCUGCUGGUGGUCUUAAACGUAGCUUGGAGCAAUGGUUCCUUAUCCUAUUCCGGCUAUGCUAACUGUGUUGUGCACGAGGACUGCAUGGACCAAAUUGCGUGCGGUGUGGGUUAUCAGCCACGUUGUUCGUUUGUACGUUGCCAGUGUGAGAAGGAAAUACAGAAACAAGACGUUACGGUAGUAACACUGUAAUGAUUUUUGAAUAAAUUUGUUACACUCCA